RNAcentral lists this ribosomal RNA (381 nucleotides) under uncultured eukaryote. RNAcentral's name for it is "SSU rRNA". It matches the Rfam family "Eukaryotic small subunit ribosomal RNA", at positions 587 to 972 of the family's 1831-position model. The record is from RNAcentral.
AGCUCCAAUAGCGUAUAUUAAAGUUGUUGCAGUUAAAAAGCUCGUAGUUGAAUUUCAGGCCUGGCUGGACGGUCCGCCUUUUGGGUGAGUACUGUCUGUGGUCGGGUCCUACCUUCUGGCGAAGCGUCAUGGCCUUAACCGGCCGUGGCGGGGAACCAGGACUUUUACUGUGAAAAAAUUAGAGUGUUCAAAGCAGGCAAUCGCUUGAAUACAUUAGCAUGGAAUAAUGGAAUAGGACAAUGGUUCUAUUUGUUGGUUUCUAGGACCGUUGUAAUGAUUAAUAGGGAUAGUUGGGGGCAUUAGUAUUCAAUUGUCAGAGGUGAAAUUCUUGGAUUUAUUGAAGACUAACUACUGCGAAAGCAUUUGCCAAGGAUGUUUUCA